Non-coding RNA from Xyrichtys novacula (pearly razorfish), 574 nucleotides. The record is from the annotation of a GenBank genome assembly. NCBI's taxonomy places the organism in Eukaryota, Metazoa, Chordata, Actinopteri, Labriformes, Labridae.
GUUGCCCCGGGGACUCUUUUUCAUGCGCACCCUGGGAGUGGAGACGGAAAGGCGCAGGUAAGUGUUCACAAUAUUCACGUCAGUACUAAUUUUAGACUGCACUACUUCCACCUUUUACUCAAGCACACAAAUCUGCUAAAAACCCUCAUCCACAUCGUAUGCACUGUGUUACAGGUGGUGCGGCUAAAUGAACCCCCCGGCUACCGGACGUCCCCGGAAAACACCUAUACAGAUACACACACACACACACACACACACACACACACACACACACACACACACACACACACACACCAUUAACCAAAUCUGAAUAAAGGUAUUUUAACUGAAAUACCUCUGUGGCUCAUCAUUUGAUAAUCAUGUGGUGCUUUUAAUUUAACAACCCUAAAUGUUGUGUCUACCUGCAAUAUAUAUAUUAACUCUGGUUAGCUGCCUCAAACCUCAGCUACUCGCUGCAGUAGUAACGGAGACAACAGAGGCAUCCGUUACGAAAUAAUACGGUUUAAUACGGUCUAAGCAAUGUGGUUCUGGAUAUUAUCCCAGUCUCGUGUGGCCUAGACUUGAUAAAAAGCAG